RNAcentral lists this ribosomal RNA (497 nucleotides) under uncultured bacterium. RNAcentral describes it as "partial 16S ribosomal RNA". It matches the Rfam family "Bacterial small subunit ribosomal RNA", at positions 28 to 507 of the family's 1533-position model. The record is from RNAcentral.
GAUGAACGCUGGCGGCGUGCCUAAUACAUGCAAGUCGAGCGAACGGACGAGAAGCUUGCUCCUCUGAUGUUAGCGGCGGACGGGUGAGUAACACGUGGAUAACCUACCUAUAAGACUGGGAUAACUUCGGGAAACCGUAGCUAAUACCGGAUAAUAUUUUGAACCGCAUGGUUCAAAAGUGAAAGACGGUCUUGCUGUCACUUAUAGAUGGAUCCGCGCUGCAUUAGCUAGUUGGUAAGGUAACGGCUUACCAAGGCAACGAUGCAUAGCCGACCUGAGAGGGUGAUCGGCCACACUGGAACUGAGACACGGUCCAGACUCCUACGGGAGGCAGCAGUAGGGAAUCUUCCGCAAAGGGCGAAAGCCUGACGGAGCAACGCCGCGUGAGUGAUGAAGGUCUUCGGAUCGUAAAACUCUGUUAUUAGGGAAGAACAUAUGUGUAAGUAACUGUGCACAUCUUGACGGUACCUAAUCAGAAAGCCACGGCUAACUACGUG